This 877-nucleotide ribosomal RNA is filed under the name uncultured bacterium. RNAcentral's name for it is "bacterial SSU rRNA". It matches the Rfam family "Bacterial small subunit ribosomal RNA", at positions 21 to 897 of the family's 1533-position model. The record is from RNAcentral.
GGCUCAGAAUCAACGCUGGCGGCGUGCCUAACACAUGCAAGUCGAACGAGAAAGUGGGGGCAACUCCAUGAGUAAAGUGGCAGACGGGUGAGUAACACGUGAACAACCUACCCUCGAGUGUGGGAUAACACCGCGAAAGCGGUGCUAAUACCGCAUAACAUCUUCGGGUCGCAUGAUCUGAAGAUCAAAAGCGCAAGUUGCUUGAGGAGGGGUUCGCGCCUGAUUAGCUAGUUGGUGAGGUAACGGCCCACCAAGGCUUCGAUCAGUAGCCGGCCUGAGAGGGCGAACGGCCACACUGGAACUGAGACACGGUCCAGACUCCUACGGGAGGCAGCAGUGGGGAAUUUUGCGCAAUGGGCGAAAGCCUGACGCAGCAACGCCGCGUGGAGGAUGAAGGCCUUCGGGUCGUAAACUCCUGUCAGUAGGGACGAAUGCCUCGCAAGAGGUUUGACUGUACCUGCUGAGGAAGCCACGGCUAACUCCGUGCCAGCAGCCGCGGUAAUACGGAGGUGGCAAGCGUUGUUCGGAAUUACUGGGCGUAAAGGGCGCGUAGGCGGCAUUGCAAGUCAGAUGUGAAAGCCCCGAGCUUAACUCGGGAAUUGCAUCUGAAACUGCUUUGCUUGAGUCCUGGAGGGGGUAGUGGAAUUCCCAGUGUAGCGGUGAAAUGCGUAGAUAUUGGGAGGAACACCUGCGGCGAAGGCGGCUACCUGGACAGUGACUGACGCUGAGGCGCGAAAGCUAGGGGAGCGAACGGGAUUAGAUACCCCGGUAGUCCUAGCUGUAAACGAUGGGCACUUGGUGUUGGGGGUAUUGAGUCCCUCGGUGCCGGAGUUAACACGUUAAGUGCCCCGCCUGGGGAGUACGGUCGCAAGACUGA